Molecule: ribosomal RNA, 400 nt
Filed under: uncultured bacterium
Lineage: Bacteria
Description: bacterial SSU rRNA
Rfam family: Bacterial small subunit ribosomal RNA
Source: RNAcentral
UCGAGAAUCUUCGGCAAUGGACGAAAGUCUGACCGAGCGACGCCGCGUGCGGGAUGAAGGCCUUCGGGUUGUAAACCGCUGUCGGAGGGGAACAAAUGUACGGGGGUUCUCCCCUGUAUUUGAGUGAACCUAGGAGGAAGGAGAGGCUAAGCUCGUGCCAGCAGCCGCGGUAAGACGAGCUCUCCGAACGUUAUUCGGUAUCACUGGGCUUAAAGAGUUCGUAGGCGGUCUGGUAGGUGAGGUGUGAAAUCCCCCGGCUCAACCGGGGAACUGCGCUUCAAACCGCCGGACUUGAGGGAGACAGAGGUGGGCGGAACAGAUGGUGGAGCGGUGAAAUGCGUUGAUAUCAUCUGGAACACCGGUGGCGAAAGCGGCCCACUGGGUCUUUUCUGACGCUGAG